AGCCUUUCGGGGUGGAUUAGUGGCGAACGGGUGAGUAACACGUGGGCAAUCUGCCCUUCACUCUGGGACAAGCCCUGGAAACGGGGUCUAAUACCGGAUAACACUCUGUCCCGCAUGGGACGGGGUUAAAAGCUCCGGCGGUGAAGGAUGAGCCCGCGGCCUAUCAGCUUGUUGGUGGGGUAAUGGCCUACCAAGGCGACGACGGGUAGCCGGCCUGAGAGGGCGACCGGCCACACUGGGACUGAGACACGGCCCAGACUCCUACGGGAGGCAGCAGUGGGGAAUAUUGCACAAUGGGCGAAAGCCUGAUGCAGCGACGCCGCGUGAGGGAUGACGGCCUUCGGGUUGUAAACCUCUUUCAGCAGGGAAGAAGCGAAAGUGACGGUACCUGCAGAAGAAGCGCCGGCUAACUACGUGCCAGCAGCCGCGGUAAUACGUAGGGCGCAAGCGUUGUCCGGAAUUAUUGGGCGUAAAGAGCUCGUAGGCGGCUUGUCACGUCGGAUGUGAAAGCCCGGGGCUUAACCCCGGGUCUGCAUUCGAUACGGGCUAGCUAGAGUGUGGUAGGGGAGAUCGGAAUUCCUGGUGUAGCGGUGAAAUGCGCAGAUAUCAGGAGGAACACCGGUGGCGAAGGCGGAUCUCUGGGCCAUUACUGACGCUGAGGAGCGAAAGCGUGGGGAGCGAACAGGAUUAGAUACCCUGGUAGUCCACGCCGUAAACGUUGGGAACUAGGUGUUGGCGACAUUCCACGUCGUCGGUGCCGCAGCUAACGCAUUAAGUUCCCCGCCUGGGGAGUACGGCCGCAAGGCUAACACUCAAAGGAAUUGACGGGGGCCCGCACAAGCAGCGGAGCAUGUGGCUUAUUCGACGCAACGCGAAGAACCUUACCAAGGGCUUGACAUAUACCGGAAAG
This 910-nucleotide ribosomal RNA is filed under the name Streptomyces sp. Its description in RNAcentral is "bacterial SSU rRNA". It matches the Rfam family "Bacterial small subunit ribosomal RNA", at positions 74 to 997 of the family's 1533-position model. Lineage: Bacteria; Bacillati; Actinomycetota; Actinomycetes; Kitasatosporales; Streptomycetaceae. The record is from RNAcentral.